RNA transcript from Ctenocephalides felis (cat flea), 807 nucleotides. It is a transcript of the gene named dopamine N-acetyltransferase-like, with no coding region annotated. The record is from RefSeq and is a predicted model, not a curated record. The transcript has 6 exons. NCBI's taxonomy places the organism in Eukaryota, Metazoa, Arthropoda, Insecta, Siphonaptera, Pulicidae.
ACCGCUCAAUUUAACAUGGGCCUGCUUUCCAAAGAAGAUGACCGAUGUAUAGAACUCGAAGAAUAUGCAUUGACAUCUAUGAAAAAAGGAGUUUCUUUAAUGGCUGUGAGUGAACGCGGUGAGCUCGUCGGUGUUGUCAUAAACUGUGUUACUGAAAGAGAAGAUGCAGCUACGAUAUCGGAUCCAUCCAAGGACUGCGCAAAUCCAAAAUUCGCCAAGAUUCUUGCCCUCCUGCACCAUGUGAGCCAAGAAGCCAAUGUUUUUGGCCAAUUUCCUGAUGUGCAACGUGUUUUGAACAUAUCAAUACUGUCGGUCGAUAGCAAUUGGCGAGGCAGAGGAAUUGCCAGGGCGCUGACUGAUGCCACGGCCGAAUAUGCUAAAGAUCACGCCGUUGAAAUGUUGCGAGUGGAUUGUACGAGCCAUUUCACGGCCCUUAUCUCAGAAAGGCUCGGUUUCCAUUCCAUCUACAGUUUGCCAUAUGCACAGUACAUCAAAGACGGAAAACCCGUAUUCAACCCACCGCCCCCACAUUUGGAAAUCAAAGUCUUUGUUCAUCGAGUCGAUGAAGACAAACGCAAAACCAAACUGAACAUUUUGUACCACUAAGGCAAAAUAUCUGUGAACUGUGGACUAACAUAAGAGACAUUUUAUUUCAUGAAAUGAUUAAGAUCCUGUUAUAGCUUUCUUUUUUGCGGAAAGCGAAGUUCCAUAAAAAGUUGAUCCUAAGUAACUUGAAAUUUUCGUGACAUCAUAAAUAACAGUUCAAGUUUUUAGCUUUAAGAAAGACAUUUUGAUUUGAUUUUUUAU